AUGCAAGUCGAACGAACUCUGGUAUUGAUUGGUGCUUGCAUCAUGAUUUACAUUUGAGUGAGUGGCGAACUGGUGAGUAACACGUGGGAAACCUGCCCAGAAGCGGGGGAUAACACCUGGAAACAGAUGCUAAUACCGCAUAACAACUUGGACCGCAUGGUCCGAGUUUGAAAGAUGGCUUCGGCUAUCACUUUUGGAUGGUCCCGCGGCGUAUUAGCUAGAUGGUGGGGUAACGGCUCACCAUGGCAAUGAUACGUAGCCGACCUGAGAGGGUAAUCGGCCACAUUGGGACUGAGACACGGCCCAAACUCCUACGGGAGGCAGCAGUAGGGAAUCUUCCACAAUGGACGAAAGUCUGAUGGAGCAACGCCGCGUGAGUGAAGAAGGGUUUCGGCUCGUAAAACUCUGUUGUUAAAGAAGAACAUAUCUGAGAGUAACUGUUCAGGUAUUGACGGUAUUUAACCAGAAAGCCACGGCUAACUACGUGCCAGCAGCCGCGGUAAUACGUAGGUGGCAAGCGUUGUCCGGAUUUAUUGGGCGUAAAGCGAGCGCAGGCGGUUUUUUAAGUCUGAUGUGAAAGCCUUCGGCUCAACCGAAGAAGUGCAUCGGAAACUGGGAAACUUGAGUGCAGAAGAGGACAGUGGAACUCCAUGUGUAGCGGUGAAAUGCGUAGAUAUAUGGAAGAACACCAGUGGCGAAGGCGGCUGUCUGGUCUGUAACUGACGCUGAGGCUCGAAAGUAUGGGUAGCAAACAGGAUUAGAUACCCUGGUAGUCCAUACCGUAAACGAUGAAUGCUAAGUGUUGGAGGGUUUCCGCCCUUCAGUGCUGCAGCUAACGCAUUAAGCAUUCCGCCUGGGGAGUACGGCCGCAAGGCUGAAACUCAAAGGAAUUGACGGGGGCCCGCACAAGCGGUGGAGCAUGUGGUUUAAUUCGAAGCUACGCGAAGAACCUUACCAGGUCUUGACAUACUAUGCAAAUCUAAGAGAUUAGACGUUCCCUUCGGGGACAUGGAUACAGGUGGUGCAUGGUUGUCGUCAGCUCGUGUCGUGAGAUGUUGGGUUAAGUCCCGCAACGAGCGCAACCCUUAUUAUCAGUUGCCAGCAUUAAGUUGGGCACUCUGGUGAGACUGCCGGUGACAAACCGGAGGAAGGUGGGGAUGACGUCAAAUCAUCAUGCCCCUUAUGACCUGGGCUACACACGUGCUACAAUGGAUGGUACAACGAGUUGCGAACUCGCGAGAGUAAGCUAAUCUCUUAAAGCCAUUCUCAGUUCGGAUUGUAGGCUGCAACUCGCCUACAUGAAGUCGGAAUCGCUAGUAAUCGCGGAUCAGCAUGCCGCGGUGAAUACGUUCCCGGGCCUUGUACACACCGCCCGUCACACCAUGAGAGUUUGUAACACCCAAAGUCGGUGGGGUAACCUUUUAGGAACCAGCCGC
This 1436-nucleotide ribosomal RNA is filed under the name Lactiplantibacillus plantarum. RNAcentral describes it as "bacterial SSU rRNA". It matches the Rfam family "Bacterial small subunit ribosomal RNA". The record is from RNAcentral. Lineage: Bacteria; Bacillati; Bacillota; Bacilli; Lactobacillales; Lactobacillaceae.